This 303-nucleotide ribosomal RNA is filed under the name uncultured bacterium. RNAcentral describes it as "partial 16S ribosomal RNA". It matches the Rfam family "Bacterial small subunit ribosomal RNA", at positions 507 to 809 of the family's 1533-position model. The record is from RNAcentral.
AGCAGUCGCCGCGGGAAUACGAAGGGUGCAAGCGUUAAUCGGAAUUACUGGGCGUAAGGCGUGCGUAGGUGGUGGUUUAAGUCCGUUGUGAAAGCCCUGGGCCCAACCUGGGAAUUGCAGUGGAUACUGGAUCACUAGAGUGUGGUAGAGGAUAGUGGAAUUUCCGGUGUAGCAGUGAAAUGCGUAGAGAUCGGAAGGAACAUCUGUGGCGAAGGCGACUAUCUGGGCCAACACUGACACUGAGGCACGAAAGCGUGGGGAGCAAACAGGAUUAGAUACCCCGGUAGUCCCUGUCUCUUAUAA